UUCUCCACGCACUGUCCAUUCUCCUUCUCGGCUUCGUUCAUGCAUUCAAUCUUCUUCUUCCAUAGUCCAUUAUUCUCCACCAUCUUCUUGUCCGAUUCCAGUCCGUCUUUUGAAGUUUACAAAUGUAAGUAAACCCAACCUAUUUUCAGGGGAAGUCAGAAAAUUAACCCUCCGUUUAACUCAACCAAAACCCUUGAGGCCUCUUGUUUGUAUUGUUUGCAGAAGAAGAUCAAUAAACCCAAAAGCCUUCUUUUCAUCUUUAUUCUUCUUCUUCGACUUCGUCUUCGUCUUCUCUGCAAGCAAAACAUUGCCGUUGGGUGAGAGAGGAGGAUGGGACAAAAACGAAUCCAGAUAUUGUGGAGUGGAGACUGACUUCGACGAUGACAUGCCGCAUCUUUUGUCCUACAAUCUCUCGUGGCUUCGAUUUUGUCGUUGCUACUCUGAUGGACCCCGCUUAUAGGCCAAGCUUGGUAGAAAGAGACGCUAGUGGUGGAUCAAAUGUUCUGCCAUUUGCUGCUUCUGACUUGGUUUUGAGCCCCUCCCAAUGGAGUAGUCAUGUUGUGGGUAUGAACUUUUCCAUUCACAGUUAGUAAUCAUUUCUUUUUAUAUAUUUAAUUUGCUUUGAAUUUUUUUUUAGCAUACUCCUUGCAUAAGGAGUUCCGAUUAUAAGAAAAAAUUAGGAUGUUGGGAGAAGACUUAGAUAUAUUCAUUUGAUUUUAUAGUCUUGUUUGAAUUAUAUGUCAUGUAUGCUAACCUUUUUGGGCCUGUAAUAGAUUCUACUUGGGCGAAUUAUUUUUUCUGGAUUGUAUGAGAGAUAGUUCAUGCUGUGGGUAUAAAAUUUUGAAUUUACUGUUGCUAAUAAUUUCAUUUUAUAUGUGUUUCAGUUUCUUGUUUAUCUUGAUGCUGGAGCAUGUGAUAGUUUCUAUCAGGAGAAUUAUUUUAUGCGAAUAAUUAUUCUCUCAAGCAGAUGACAUUUUUAAUUUGCUUCAAAAAGUUUUUGAUUUUUAGCAUACAUUUUCCAUAAAGAGUUCGGAUUUUAAAAGAUAAUUAGGAGGUUGGGAGAAGAAAUUGAUAUAUUCAUUUGAUUUUGUAGUCUUGUUUGAAAGAUUUUGUCUUUAGCAAAGUCUUUUGCUUAGGAGUUUGCUUUUUAAAAAAUCAGGUUGAGAGACUUGUUUGGGCCUGUACAAAUUCAAAGUCAUAGUAUGAUUCAUGCUAAAGUUCUUCUCUGGUGCGGAUGUUCUGUAAAAAUUUUGGUUUGGUAAAAAGUGAUAAAAGAGGUUCUUUUUGCAUUACAAUCUUGUGGAACUCCCCCAGUAUAUUCUCGAAUCUAUUCAGGAAAAAUUAGUUCGUGGAUUCACUUGGAUUCAGAAGAUGAGACUGGAUGGGUUCUGAAAUUACUUUGAAGCAAGAAAUAGCAUGGGCUACACAUUUGUCCUUACAGCUUCUUCAUAUGAUGCACUACAAAAUCCAAAUUAUUUUCCCGAGGAGAAAUUGUGAGGAAAACUAAAUGAAGUAGCAUAUACUGCUUUGCUUUUAAUAAUUUUUUGACUGGAUUGUCUUUUUGACCUUUAAUCUUUUGGCUGCUGGUUACUUUAUUUUUUUAU
Molecule: RNA transcript, 1604 nt
Organism: Pistacia vera
Lineage: Eukaryota; Viridiplantae; Streptophyta; Magnoliopsida; Sapindales; Anacardiaceae
Gene name: protein arginine N-methyltransferase 1.5-like
Exons: 3
Source: RefSeq, a predicted model, not a curated record